UCAACUUUUACCGUCUCUCUUCCCCUUUUCUCUUUUUAUUUUCUCUCCUUUCUUUCCUCCCCCUUUAUCUCCUCUUCUCUUCUUUCCUCUCCUCUCUCCUCUCUUUUUUUCUUCUCUCCUCUUUCUUUUCUUUCCUCUCCUCUUUCAUCUCCUUUUACCUUCAUUUCUCUCCUCUCUCUUUCUUUCCUUUCCUCUCUUUUCUCCUUCCCUCCUUUUAUCUUCUCUCAUCUCCUCUCUUUCCUCUCUUUUUAUCUUCAUCUCUCUCCUCUCUUUUUCUUUCCUUUUCUAUCCUUUUUCCUUCUCUCCUUUUAUCUUCUCUUCUCUUUCCUCUCCUCUCCUUCUUUUCUUUCCUCUCCUCUUUCCUCUUCUCUUAUAUUCUCUUUUCUCUCCUCUCCCCUCUCCCCUCUCCUUUUCUCUCAUAUCCUAUCUUUCCUCUCCUUUUACUUUCAUUUCUCUCCUCUUUCUUUCUUUCCUUUCCUUUCCUCUCUCCUUUUCUCUUCUCUAAUCUCUUCUCGUUCCUUGCCUUUUACCUUCACUUCUCUCCUCUCUCUUCUCUUCCUCUUCUCUCUUUAGCUUCUCUUCUCUUUUCUCUCCUCUCUCCUCUCUUUUUCUCUUCUCUCAUUUCUUCUCUUUCCUCUCCUUUUACCUUCACUUCUCUCCUUUCUCUUCCUUUCCUCUCCUCUCCUCUCUCCUUUUCUAAUCUCUUCUCUUUCCUUACCUUUAACCUUCACUUCUCUCCUCUCUCUUCUUUUCCUCUCCUCUCUCCUUCUCUCUUUAGCUUCUCUUCUCUUUUCUCUCCUCUCUCCUCUCUUUUUCUCUUCUCUCAUUUCUUCUCUUUCCUCUCCUUUUACCUUCACUUCUCUCCUUUCUCUUCCUUUCCUCUCCUCUCCCUUUUCUCCCUUUGUCUUCUGUUUUCUUCCAUUAACUUGCACUUUUUCUCUUUCCUCCCCAUCUGGGUGCCAUUUCCUCCAGUCUGGCCAGGUCACUUUCUCAGCACCCUAGAAGCUGAGCUUUGCUGAGGCAGUAUA
This 1028-nucleotide long non-coding RNA is filed under the name Monodelphis domestica (gray short-tailed opossum). Its description in RNAcentral is "lncRNA (ENSMODG00000046513.1)". Lineage: Eukaryota; Metazoa; Chordata; Mammalia; Didelphimorphia; Didelphidae. The record is from RNAcentral.